This 650-nucleotide ribosomal RNA is filed under the name Hamacantha johnsoni. RNAcentral's name for it is "partial large subunit ribosomal RNA". It matches the Rfam family "Eukaryotic large subunit ribosomal RNA", at positions 659 to 1289 of the family's 3401-position model. Lineage: Eukaryota; Metazoa; Porifera; Demospongiae; Merliida; Hamacanthidae. The record is from RNAcentral.
ACACGGACCAAGGAGUGCAACAUGCGUGCGAGUCUUGGGGUGGCAAACCCAUCGGCGCAAUGAAAGUGAAGGCAGAUGUUUUGGUCUGCUGAGGCGAGAGCCCCUUCGGGGGCACAUCGUCGACCGAUCCCAGGCUACGCUGUGGCGGGAUUUGAGUAAGAGCGUGCCUGUUGCGACCCGAAAGAUGGUGAACUAUGCCUGAAUAGGGUGAAGCCAGGGGAAACCCUGGUGGAAGCUCGUAGCGAUUCUGACGUGCAAAUCGAUCGUCAAAUUUGGGUAUAGGGGCGAAAGACUAAUCGAACCAUCUAGUAGCUGGUUCCCUCCGAAGUUUCCCUCAGGAUAGCUGGAGCCCGGUGCAGUUUUAUCAGGUAAAGCGAAUGAUUAGAGGUCUUGGGGUUGAAACAACCUCAACCUAUUCUCAAACUUUAAAUGGGUAAGAAGCCCGGCUUGCUUAAUUGAAGUCGGGCAUCGAAUGCCGGGGYUCCUAGUGGGCCAUUUUUGGUAAGCAGAACUGGCGAUGUGGGAUGAACCAAAUGCCGGGUUAAGGUGCCCGAAUCGACGCUCAUCAGAUCCCAUGAAAGGUGUUGGUUGAUCCAGACAGCAGGACGGUGGCCAUGGAAGUCGGAAUCCGCUAAGGAGUGUGUAACAAC